Molecule: long non-coding RNA, 301 nt
Filed under: Callithrix jacchus (white-tufted-ear marmoset)
Lineage: Eukaryota; Metazoa; Chordata; Mammalia; Primates; Cebidae
Description: lncRNA (ENSCJAG00000078531.1)
Source: RNAcentral
UUAUCCUUGUGGCUUAGUGAGUGAGUGCUCGUGGAAGAAAAGCCUGUAAGGAAGUGAGGGACACAGGAUAAGGAGGGGAUGAUGCCAAUAAAGGCGAUGGUUUCAGCUGCUUUAAUUGAUUGACAGGUGGUCCAGCCUCAUGUUGAUCCCAUAAGGAGCUCUGGAGUGUGGAGAGCAUGCUGGAAGCCGGGAAAUCAGACUUUUCUACUCUGAAUCAGCCAGGCUGCCUGCAAUCUUGUCCCCAAUAGGCAGAUGGGUCACAGCAGAAGUACGGGAAUAAUAAAACCCAUCCUCCAGGGCU